ACGUAUCCAUGACAGUCUAUCGGCUGUAAGCAUAGACACCGGACACGGUGGGAAAGCAACAGGAAAAAUCACUUACUGCCGGCAAAUACUGUUCCAUUAUUGCGAGGGAUCGUCCGCGCGGGGGUCUGUGUUUCUCUCACAAGUGGUUACGAUGAAUUAAUCCGACGCUCACAUACUGUGACUUUGGAGGAAGCCGUGACGAGAAGCUGAGACGAUGGUGGACACGGCGGGGAACAAGGCAGCGGCGCUGGUGACGAUGGCGGUGAUAACCAUUGCCGCGGCGCUCGUCCCCCUCUACGUCCGCAAGAUGCUGAAGGGCCGCAUGCACCUGCCCCGCACGCAGAGGGCGCUGAGCGGGUGCCUGUGCUUCGGCGCGGGCGUGCUCAUGGCGACGGUGUUCCUGCACCUUCUCCCCGAAGCCCGGAUGUUCGUGAACGACGCCAUGCAGGGGGGCUUCCUGCCGCCCACGCCUUACCCAGUGGCAGAGCUCAUCGUCUGCGUGGGGUUCAUCAUCAUCUACAUCAUUGAGGACGUGGUGCACACCUGCGUCAGAAGGUCGUCCCGCGGCAACAAGGACCUGGAGAUGAAAGGGAAAAAGGCACAAGACAAGGACGCCAGGCAUGACAACGCAGAGGAAGGGAGUAAAUCAAGAAAACAAGAUGAAGUGGACGAGAGCUUCCAGCACCUCAUGGAGGGCCAUGCGGAGCACAGAUCGGAGCCCGGGGGCCAUUCCCACGAGCACGGCCUCACCCAGGGGAUCUCCCUCCUGCGCGCUGUCAUCGUGGUGGUGGCGUUCUCCUUCCACAGCGUGAUGGAGGGCUUAGCCCUCGGCCUGCAGGAGACGUCGGCGGGCGUGUGGUUCCUCUUCGCCGCCCUCAUGGCCCACAAGGUCUUCAUCGCCUUCUGCUUGGGCAUGGAGCUCCUGGAGGUCGGGUAUCCCUGGUUCCGUUCGUGGUGUCCAUGACCAUCUUCUCGCUCUCGUCGCCCGUCGGAGGGGCGAUGGGCGCGCUGGUGCUGUCCCUGUCCACAGAGGAGACCACGGCAGGCGUGCUGGUGCCCACCUUCCUGCAGGGGAUCUCCGCUGGCACCAUCCUGUACGUGACCUUCUGCGAGGUCCUGGAGAGAGAGAGAGCCAAGCCCGACGGCGGCCCCGUGCGCCUGGUGUGCUUCAUCAUCGGGUUUGCGUUCAUGUCCGGCUUGCAGGUGCUGGACGAGGCGGGCAACAAGCUGGCGUCCUCGCUCACUGCCCCCGCGGCCAACAGCUCGCUCGCUUAGGCUCCGUUCUUCAAGCUGAUGACACGUGUACUUAGUAGGUUGUGCCUACUGCUUCCGUACUGUUCUAAACCCCUUUUUUAACACUAAUCAACUGUCAAUAUUUUGUACAAUAUAUCUUGGCCAUUGCUAAUGCCACUGCCAUCACCAUCUGGCGUGGUGUGUCCGAAGCGUUCCAAAGGCGGCGGGAUGGUGUAACUGGCUCUGCCACUAAUUAUAUACAUCUUUAAAGGCAUCAUUGUUAUUUUAGCACUAUUAUUAACACUGCAUUCAGUAGCUCAACAUCAUCAGCUCUAAAAAGUCUGACGCACUAGCCAGAAGUUCAAGGAUUUGAUUUGAUAAGUUCAUUACGUCUAGGUUUGGAGAACUUCACAAAGGAGGAGAUGGAACUGAAGCGGUUCAGUGAAGCGGUUCAGUGAUAUAUUGUGAUGUAAUGGAACACGAACUCCAUUGCUUUCGUGAAGGUCUACAUUCCCAUUCACAUCACUCCUGCAGACGUCGUGACGAUCUCCCCUGACAAUGUAAGUCUCGAAACACUUAUGCUGCGGCCUCGGUCUUUGUUGACGAAUCUUUGUACAUUUGUCAGUGACUUUAGACUUAUUAUAAUAAACAUCCCAUUCCUUUUUCCCUAAUAAUAAGACGCCAAUCUCUGGUGCCGUGAAGGAGCUUGGUGUGUAACCUAGUUAUCGUUAUCCGCGUUAUCUUUAAACAUUUCAACUUUGUAUUUUCAAGUAUGUACUCAUUCCUCUUUUUUUUACUGAUAAGAUCUGUUGUACGUAAGGUUAUGGUUGUACGACACCUUGGGAACUGUAAGUGACCACAGGUUUCGCGUUCCUAUAUAUACAACACACGCACACACGUGUGUGUGCGUCUAUAUCUGUGAUGUGUAUGCGUGUACAUAAACAACUCUUUGGUAAUACGUAAAAUAAAAUAUUUGAUACAGUUAAAACCUAAAA
Molecule: non-coding RNA, 2228 nt
Organism: Penaeus vannamei (Pacific white shrimp)
Lineage: Eukaryota; Metazoa; Arthropoda; Malacostraca; Decapoda; Penaeidae
Source: RefSeq, a predicted model, not a curated record